Molecule: long non-coding RNA, 822 nt
Filed under: Equus caballus (horse)
Lineage: Eukaryota; Metazoa; Chordata; Mammalia; Perissodactyla; Equidae
Description: lncRNA (ENSECAG00000051932.1)
Source: RNAcentral
GGCAUCUUGAGAUGGCAAACAGUAAAUGUGCCUGUGUUAAUAACAACAAAAAUAAUUCUUUGUGCUCUACCCGUCUACUGAUUUUUACUUAUAAAAAUUAUGUUCAUUAGCUUUCCCCACCCGACCCAACAACCUGGUGAGUUUGGUGUGGGAGAUAUAUUUGGAAUGUAAGGAAACUGAAGCAUUGAGAACAAGAUGACCCUCCUUAGGACCCCAGCCAUAUACAGAUUUAUGGAUUUUCAUCCAAGGCAAAAAUGCAGGGCUGUUCGUACAGCUUAACUGGAGCUAUACUGGCAGAAAAUAAGGGCAGGAACCAAAGCUGCUGUCACAAAGAAAGGACUCUCCCAGUUCUCUAUUUGGUAUUUAAAAAUAGGAGAGAAAAUGGCAUAGCUUGAAUCUGAGAUAAUGCUUGCCACUUUGUGAAUGUUCUUACAGUGCAUUGCCUUCGAAACAAAUUGGCCCUCGUCUACAAAGGUUUCUUUUUUGUACUCUCACAAACUCAUUUUUAAUGGCUUGUAUGGCAUCAGUUGUGCCCCUGAGCUGUAAUGAAGCACUCUGCAAGUCACCACACGCGUCAGAAAUGAAUCUCAUGGAGGGGAAAAUGCUGGAGCAUUAAUAGGUUUUAAUCCAAGGGCCCAUACCAUUUAUAUACCAGAAUACAUGGCAUAUAACCCCCAGUCUCUCCUAUGGUUUUAUGUGGCCACAUGACUCAGUUCUAGCCAAUGGAAUGCACAUGGACGUACAUCUUUUGGAUAUUGUCCUUAAUGGGAGGGGGAAAACCUUUCUACCCUUCUUUCCUCCUUCUUGCUGCCUGGAAUGUGG